UAAUCAUCAUCCCUGUACGGCCCACUCGUUCUCCUCUCUCUCUCUCUCUCUCUCCACACCUGUAUUGCUUCUCUCGGCUCAGGAAAUCCCCCAUUGACCCUCCAAAUCGCUCCUUCAUUUCACCAUCUUCGACCCCAUUUUAGGGUUUCACAGAGAGACAGAGAGAGAAAACCAUAUUGUGUCUCUGAGGUCGUCUAUGUAGAGUCCAAGCAUGGGCUGUUUUCAGUCCAAAACCGCCAAUGUUCAGUCCCCAGACCUAGAACCCUCUCAACCUGACUCCAAACCUGAUCUAGCUAAUGAAGAGCAAUUGGAUCAAGAUCAAGUAGUUCCUGCAUUCAAAGAGUAUAGUCUUGCUGAGUUGAGAGCUGCCACAAAUGGGUUCAGUAGCGAAUUGAUUGUGUCUGAGAGUGGUGACAAAGCUCCCAAUGUUGUUUACAGAGGCAAACUGAAGAACAAUCGCUUUGUUGCCGUUAAACGCUUCUCCAAGCUUUCCUGGCCCGACCCUCAACAGUUUGUGCUAGAAGCUGCUGGAGUUGGCAAGGUUCGGCAUAAGAGAUUGGUGAACUUAAUUGGGUGUUGUGCUGAGGGAGAUGAACGUCUAUUGGUGGCAGAAUUCAUGCCCCAUGAUACACUCUCGAAGCAUUUGUUUCACUGGGAUAAACAACCUCUUCCGUGGGAAAUGCGUGUAAGAGUUGCAUGCUAUAUUGGACAAGCUCUUGAUCAUUGCAAUGCUGAAAAUAGGAAAAUCUAUCAUGAUUUAAAUGCUUACCGAGUUCUUUUUGAUGAGGAUGGUGACCCCCGAUUAUCUAGUUUUGGUCUUAUGAAAAAUAGCCGAGAUGGGAAAAGUUAUAGCACCAAUCUGGCUUAUACUCCACCUGAGUUUUUGCGUACUGGUAGGGUCAUUCCAGAGAGUGUUGUCUACAGUUACGGAACUGUUCUUCUGGAUCUUUUGAGUGGAAAGCAUAUCCCACCAAGCCAUGCACUGGAUCUUAUAAGGGGAAAAAAUGUUUUGUUGCUGAUGGAUUCAUCCUUGGAAGGACAAUAUGCCAAUGAAGAUGCAACUGCAUUGGUUGAACUUGCUUCAAAAUGUCUCCAGUAUGAGGCUAGAGAUCGACCAGAUAUUAAGUUUCUUCUUACUGCGGUAGAACCCCUUCAAAAGCAGAAAGAGGUUGUGUCACAUGUUUUGAUGGGUCUGAUGAAAACUCCAGUGGUGCUGCCAACCAUGCUUUCUCCUCUUGGAAAGGCUUGUGCAAGGAUGGACCUUACUACGGUUCAUGAUAUCUUGCUUAAAACGGGUUAUAAAGAUGAAGAGGGUGCAGAAAAUGAGGUACCUGGAAUGUUUCCGGCGAAGGCGAAGACUGGGCCGUGGUGUAGGAUUCUCUUCCUUGCGGGUCGAUCUUUUGAGAUACAGGAGGUGUCAAGGGACCAACGAGGCAAUUGACGGCUGGGAAUUGUGGAACGUGGCUUAGGAUUACGGCGAGAAGUGCUUUUGGUCGGAUUUGAAGUGGGGUGGAUUGCUAAGAAGUUGCGGGAGGCAUCACGUAACAUAGGGACCCAAUCUUUUCUGGGUCGGUUGGAUGGAAAAUGACGAAGUGUGGCAGUCUGGACUUGAGGUGUGGAGGAUGGAGGGGCCUCGCUUUAGAUUGUGGUUACGACUGAGGGCAAGUGAUAUCAGACUUUUCUUUCUGCUUCGGAGUUCAUGGAUAGAUGAGAGGGAGUUAUUGAGGGCUUUGCCAAGGGGAAGGGUUGGGUCUUGAAGUCUGGUGACAUAAAAGGGACAUCAGUGGUGCAAAGGGGUGAGCCACUGACUGCAGGAGACGUGCCUCCUAUGGGCAACGGUGAUAAAUUGAUUCAGGUUGUAGUGGAGGAGGGGUGGUUUGGGUCAGGUGGGGGGUAAGGGUGUGGGGUUUUUGGCCAUGAUGGAGUGGGUAAGCUCGUGGUGGAAGAUGUCGAGGACGGUGGAAAUCCGACCAGUUGGGGUCAAGCCUUUCUCUUCAUGUUCCCUUCACGACUAAAAGCUGGGGAGGUCUUGAGGUGCUGGUAGGUAAUUGACAGGUGUGAUUUGGGUUUGCAAUGGUGGUCACCAUCAACUUUUUGCGAUAAAGGGAUGACAUUUGGGCCAGAGACGACGGUGUGGGUGAGGGUGGUGUGAUUACCCAUACAUCUUUGCGGGGUAAAGACGUAUAGGGCCAUCGGUGAGAAGUGUAGGGGUUUGGUGGAUGUUGAUGAGCUUUCGGCUGAUCUAGGUGUGGUCUGAAUGCAACUCCAAAGUGGUGGCAGCAUAGCACCUAAGAUUUUGCUCCGACGGGAGUCAUGGCAAUAUGUGCUACCUCUGUGGCCGGAGGUUGGGCCAACGAUCGAGGUUGUUCAGCCGGCAGUGGAGAUGCGAGGUGGGGGGGCAGCCGAAGAAGGAAGGUAGUAUCUGGUUGCGUGAUGAUAGGGGGAUGUUUUGGAUUAAGGAUCUUGAGGGAUUUGAUCAAAGAUUUGGGGGAAAUAUUUUAGGUCUUGGGCCUUGGGGCAGACAACUGAGAAAAGGGGGGUGGGCUUUGGAGGUAAAUAGUUGGGCUCAAAUCAUAAGGGGUGGAUGGACCGUAGGGGCAGAAUGGGAGCCUAACAUCCAGUGGGCUUCUUUAGUAGAGUUGAGAAGAUUUGGCAAUAGGAGUCGUGGACUGGGCCCUAACAGUUCAAGCCCAUAUCAAAAAGAGAGGACCGACGCUAGGAGAGGCCCAGUGUUAACAAUGGGGGCACAAAUUAACCUGACUAUUGAUCGGGUGCUCGGAUCUCUGCGUGACAAAAUUGGGUCAAGUCGCCAAAUUAACAAUGGUGAUGCUUUGUUGUCAAGCGGGGCAGUGGCGUGGGCUUUGUUGGAGGAGCCUAGUGUGCCGACGAUGAGUCUAAGUCCUGGGCAGCUGGUGGUGGGAGAUUUGAUGUUGUGAAGUCUGGAAAAGGUACAGUGGAGGAUGCAGUGCUUACCCUGACAAAUCAGUUGAUAGAAGAUGAGACUUGUGGGGAAGUGCUGGGUCAGUCAGGGGAGUAUGUGGCGUCUAAAGCAAUGACGGAGGAGAGAUGGGAAAAUUUGGGUGAGAAGCAUGCCUGGGGAUAAGGCACUGGGCCCGAAUGGUUUUUCUAUUGCUUUUUUUUCAACAUUGUUAGGGGGUGGUGAAAGGGGAGGUGAUGGCUAUGUAUGAGCAGUUUCAUCGAACUGGGCAAUUUGAGCGGAGUCUGAAUGCAACUUUUAUACCUUUGAUUCCUAAGAAGGGGGGCCGGAGGGCAUUCAAGAUUUUCAGCCUAUUAGUCUUUUGGGCAUUGUUUACAAACUAUUGGCCAAGGUUUUGGCUAAUAGACUUUAGGGCGUGUUAGAGAGGGUGGUGUCAGAAUCAUAGAAUGCUUUUGUGGGUGGUUGACAAAUUUUGGAUGUUGUUCUGGUGGCUAACGAGUGUGUGGAUUCACGGCUCCGGUAAGGAAAACGGGGGAUAAUUUGUAAGCUGGAUGUUGAGAAGGCUUACGAUAAUGUGAACUAGAAGUUUUUGUUGUACAUGAUGGAGAUGACAGGUUUUGGGAAGCGGUGGAGGAGGUGGAUACAAUUUUGUGUUUCUACUGUUCGAAUGUCUGUUCUGGUUAAUGACACACAGGCAGGUUUCUUCCCCAUUUAGAGAGGUUUACGGUAGGGUGACCCUUUGUUCCCAUUAUUGUUCAUUUUGGUUAUGGAGGCAUUAAGUCGUCUGUUCUCUAGGGCGGUCCAAAAGGGGUUUGUUAUCAGGUUUCGAAGUGGGUAUGGGACCUGGUUCUUUGGUGGUUUCUCAUCUUUUCUAUGCUGAUGAUGUGUUGAUUUUUUGCAAUGCGGAUUCUUAUCAGAUUGGCAAUUUGCGGUGUGUAUUGUUAUGUUUUGAGGCAGUGUUAGGUUUGCGGGUUAAUUUGGCAAAAUCAAAAUUGAUACCGGUAGGUGAGGUGGACCAAUUGUCGGUGUUAUCUUGGGCUAUAAGGUGGUAAUGUUUUCAGUUUCUUAUUUGGGUCUUCCUUUGGGGGGGCUUCCUUUAAGGAGACACGGGGUGUGGGAUAGGGUGAUGGACAGAGUUCAGCUGCAGUUGGCGGGGUGGAAGCGACAGUACUUGUCAAAAGGAGGACGGAUCACUUUGAUCAAGAGUGUUCUAUCUAAUAUUCUUACGUAUUUUAUGUUGGUGCAUGUGAUUCGUAUCGAGGUAGCAAAGAGGUUAGAGAAGUUGCAACGAGAUUUUUUGUGGCGUGGGGGCGGGGAGGGUUUUCAUUGCCAUUUGGUGAACUGGGAGAAGGUUUGUACUCUGAAGGAGAUGGAGGGUUUGGGGGUGCAGAAAUUGGUAGUGUUUAAUCAAGCUCUAUUGGGGAAGUGGUUGUUGCGUUUUGCAGGGGAAAGGAAGCAGCUAUGGAGGAGGGUGGUGGUAGCUAAGUACGGGGAGGAGAGGGGGGGUUGGUGUUCGAAGAGGGUGGCUCAGCCUUAUGGUCGAGGAUUGUGGGAGGGGAUUUGGUUGGAGAGGGAGGCUUGUUGGGAACGAGUUCGGUUUAAAGUGGGAGCAAGAGAUCGAGUUUGUUUUUGGCGGGAUUGGUGGUGUGGAGAGCUGUCUUUGGCGGCCAUGUUCCCUUUGAUAUUUGCGAUUGCCGCUAAUGGGGUGGUUGCUUUGGUUAGGGUGAGUCACGAGCAAUCAGUUGUUUGGAACGUUUGUCUUCGACGUGAUAUUCAGAAUUGAGAGAUAGACAAAUUGGUGGAUCUUUUGAGUUUUUUGUAUGGGUUGUAGUAUGGGGGGAGGGGGAAUGGGGUGGAUUCUUUGGUAUGAGAUUUUCUAAGUUCUAAAGGUGUUUUUUUAGUGUCAUCAUUUUAUAAGGUGCUUGCAUCGGGUAGUGGUGGUGCAUUUCCUUGGAAAUGUAUUUGGGCGACGAGAUCUCCUUCCAAGAGAUGUGGAAACGGUUGAUCAUUUGCUUGUGCAAUGCCCCGUUGUGUCUCGGCUUUGGUGUACGAAUCGGGCUUGGUAUUGGAGGUGUUGCUCAGUUGGGAUGGGGCGAGGGUGGGUAAGAGGCGGUGGAAGGCUUGGUUACUUGCUUCUCAUUGCUUAUUGUGGUUAGUUUGGUUGGAGCAUAGAAGACGUAUUUUUCAGAACAAAUGUCAUUCAUUUCUUUGGUUAGAAUUACGCUUCUUAUGGUUUUGCAUAGUUAGGUUGCAGGUUCGGUUGAUCCUGAUGUGUUCACUUUUGUACAUUUUGUAGAGGAUUUGCUUAGCUAGUGAGAUUCUGCGGACUGUUUUGGCCUGCUAUUUCGUUUGUAUUCUUUGCAUCACUUUAAUGCUUUUCUAAUAGUCUUAUUAUUUAUCAAAAAAAAAAAAUUUGUUUAAAAGAAAAAAAAAAAAA
Non-coding RNA from Camellia sinensis, 5375 nucleotides. NCBI's taxonomy places the organism in Eukaryota, Viridiplantae, Streptophyta, Magnoliopsida, Ericales, Theaceae. The record is from RefSeq and is a predicted model, not a curated record.